GCCAGCAUGGCAUAGUGGUCUGAGCACUAGACUAUGACUCUGGAGACCAGGGUUUGAAUCCCUGCUCAGUCA
Phrynosoma platyrhinos (Desert horned lizard) is the source of this 72-nucleotide non-coding RNA. The record is from the annotation of a GenBank genome assembly. Lineage: Eukaryota; Metazoa; Chordata; Lepidosauria; Squamata; Phrynosomatidae.